RNAcentral lists this ribosomal RNA (615 nucleotides) under uncultured Synechococcus sp. RNAcentral's name for it is "bacterial SSU rRNA". It matches the Rfam family "Bacterial small subunit ribosomal RNA", at positions 122 to 770 of the family's 1533-position model. The record is from RNAcentral. Lineage: Bacteria; Bacillati; Cyanobacteriota; Cyanophyceae; Synechococcales; Synechococcaceae.
GAAUCUGCCCUCAGGAGGGGGAUAACGGCUGGAAACGACCGCUAAUACCCCAUAUGCCGAGAGGUGAAACGAAAUUCGCCUGAGGAUGAGCCCGCGUCUGAUUAGCUAGUUGGUGGGGUAAGGGCCUACCAAGGCAUCGAUCAGUAGCUGGUCUGAGAGGAUGAUCAGCCACACUGGGACUGAGACACGGCCCAGACUCCUACGGGAGGCAGCAGUGGGGAAUUUUCCGCAAUGGGCGCAAGCCUGACGGAGCAACGCCGCGUGAGGGAUGAAGGCCUCUGGGCUGUAAACCUCUUUUCUCAAGGAAGAAGAACUGACGGUACUUGAGGAAUAAGCCACGGCUAAUUCCGUGCCAGCAGCCGCGGUAAUACGGGAGUGGCAAGCGUUAUCCGGAAUUAUUGGGCGUAAAGCGUCCGCAGGCGGCCUUGAAAGUCUGUCGUUAAAGCGUGGAGCUUAGCUCCAUUUCGGCGGUGGAAACUACAAGGCUUGAGUGUGGUAGGGGCAGAGGGAAUUCCCGGUGUAGCGGUGAAAUGCGUAGAUAUCGGGAAGAACACCAGUGGCGAAGGCGCUCUGCUGGGCCAUAACUGACGCUCAUGGACGAAAGCUAGGGGAGCG